AAUCAAGAUAAGGAUAAGGAUGAAAUCAAGUUCUAGAGAAUUCAAAGGAUAAGGAUGAGAAUAAAAAAUUAUUUCAGGAAGGACUAAACUGCAAACAGAUUUAACUCUGAAGGACCAAAGUUAAUAACCGACCUAUUCUAUAGGGACCUAACUGUGACAUCAGAAAUAGUUUUAAUUCAAAUUCAGGUCCCUGGUUUUGUCUAUAAAUACCACCACGAAGUUCAAGUUCAAACCGGCUCAAAUUAGAGCAACCCAAGCCUCCAAAUCCUUGCUAAACCUUCCCCUCAGCCUCCUAAAGCCUUCCUUAACCUCUUCUCCGCCCAACAACCACCACAAAACACCCAACCGAGCUCAAGAAAUUCCAAAACUUUGAGCUCUCGGUUCUCCCUCAAAUCUCCAUCAAUUUUGUCAAACCAAGAGUCUAUUUUGCUUAUAAUUUCACCAGCAAGCUAUUCGUGCAAGAAUUUUGAAGUUUGGAGGUCUAGAUUUCAUUCUGCCAUUGUUGGCCGGAAAAGCUUCAUGGAGCUCAUCGUUUUGGCCAAACCAGAGACCUUCUCAGCUAUCCACCUAUACCAUUGAGUUCCUGGGAGUGAGAGGAAGCUUUUCCAACUGGUUUCCACCCUUAACUCCACCCUCCCGCCGGAGCUCCGCCGCCAACCACCACCUUCUCCGGCGAGCUCACCGGAAAAACUGUUCAGAACUUGGAUUUUCUUGCAUAGUUCAAAUCCUUGUCUUCCAUAGGUUCCAUAUACAUAUUCGGUUCGGAAAAUUAACUUGGUUUGAUAGGGUUUCAAGAGACGAGAAGAUAAUUAUUAAUUGGAGGAUUUUUCCGAAGAAAGGUAAGGGGGGGAGAAUGCUCAACUCAUGAGGGAGUAUAGUGUGAAUAAAUAGGUGUUGGACCUCCCUUGGGUCCCUAAUUGUUUUUAAAAAAUGAUUAUUUCAAACGGGAUUUAUUCUUGAGAAUUGAUUCGAAGAAGGAGCCUCCGAAUCUUUUCCUAAACAUUUUUUUGAGGCAUCCCGAUUUUUAAAAGAAAAUAUUAAUUGAACAAUUCUCAGAAUAUUUCCAGAAGAUUUUUUUUAAUGGCUUGCAGAUACUCUAUGAGCAGGAAAGGUCAGUGGCCCCAACUGGACAGUCAAGGCCAGGCUGUGCCAUUGGGUAACGCUGUGAGAUCUAGGGGAUACCGUAAGGGUUGCGGUCCUUGGGGUGUGGUUAGGUGGGACCUACCAACAGGUGAUGAUGAGGUUUGUCCCAUCCGGAACCUAAUUCACACUGCAGGCCCUCCGAGGAUCAUCCAGCCGAGCGGCUUCUCGGUGACUUUCCUGGAGAAUGUUGGGCCCACAUCCUCGUCUAGAGACCGAAACUAUUUCUAAUUAGAUUUUUUAAUGAUUUAUUUGAUUAUGCUAUUACUUUUCACUUGAUUUACUUGCUUAUUUAUUUUACACUAUUCCUCUUGCUUGAGUGUGUUGGAUUGCUUCUCUCCCCUCUUGUUUUGGUUGGUUGUUCUAAUUGAAUAACUUAGGGACGGAGACCGAGGAGAAAGAACUAGAAUGAAAAAGUGACCAAGGCAGGAAGAGCUGUAAAUAGUUGUGAAUAUACGAGAGUGUUCGAGUAGAAUAAAGACCAGCCGAUGGAAGAAGACGUGUGCGACUGAACUCGUACUCUAUUAGACUGUAAAAUAAGUAUGAAAGCAGUGGGGUUUUGUAAUUAAGUUUGUUAAAGUAAUCGGGAAAGAUUCAAGGGAGUCCAUGCGAUACUCUGGGAUGUCUUGUCUAAGGAAAGGAAUCGCUUUCGCUUUUAAUGACGCUUAGCGCGGCUAACUUUCCUGGAGCCGUUCUCAGACUAUCAAUUUGACAACGAUGAAUUCUGACCCAAAGGUCUUGUAUUUUUUUCAAGGUUCAUCAAUAAAAGUGCUGUUUUUCUGAAGGUA
Lotus japonicus is the source of this 1928-nucleotide long non-coding RNA. RefSeq lists it as uncharacterized. The transcript has 2 exons. The record is from RefSeq and is a predicted model, not a curated record. NCBI's taxonomy places the organism in Eukaryota, Viridiplantae, Streptophyta, Magnoliopsida, Fabales, Fabaceae.